Molecule: long non-coding RNA, 3628 nt
Organism: Myotis daubentonii (Daubenton's bat)
Lineage: Eukaryota; Metazoa; Chordata; Mammalia; Chiroptera; Vespertilionidae
Source: RefSeq, a predicted model, not a curated record
CUCUGGGGUAGGGCCCUUCAGUUUUGCCCCUUUGAAAUUUCAAAUUCCAGUUUGUGGACAAAGUCCUAAGUUUCUCACAAUAUAGGUCCCCAACCACUGACCAAACUCCAGUCCAGGCAGCCAGCAGGCCCGGGGCUGCUUCCUUUGGCAGCUCCCAAGGUCUGGGAGGAAGAGGUCUUGCCCCAGGGGGUCUGUCAGGCCCUUCCUGCAGCUCCAUCCCGCCCCACAGGGACCCCUGCCUCGCACCUGAGAGGAGCCCUCUUCCUGGAGCUGGGAUCUGAUGCUUGUUGGCACCGACAGCAGAUACCAGGCACAUGGCAGGAUUACACUUUCUUGCCUCCUUCGAAGUUGGAUGUGACCAUGUGACUUGUCUUGGCCAAUGAAAUGUGAACAGAAACCAUCUGUGUCACACCUGAGCAGAAGGUUUAAGAGCCAGUCCUUAGGUUGUUGUGGAAGCACAUACAGAUAUGGAGUCACCAGGAAGCGAAGAGCCCCCUGCCAGCCCCUGCCAGAUAUGUACCAAAAGUGGCUGAGAUUGUCAGAUGUUUGGGGGCAACACAGUAUAGAGGUGAGAGCACAAAUUCUGGAGCCUGACUUUCUGGGCUUGAAUUCUGGUUCUGCCAUGGACUAGCUCUGUGACCUUGGCCCCAGAAGACAAACAGGACCAACGAAUGGAUGCUACAAGGUUUGUGCUCAAAAUGGAGACCAUUUUUCUACCAGAUACAAUGGUUCUUACCAGGGGGAAAGCUACUUUUUUAAGUAGUGAGCGUACUGUCAUUGGGAGUAUCAAGCCCAAGCUAACCGUCAGGGAGGAUGGUGACAAGAUUCCGGCAAAGGACCAGAGGAUGAAUCAAAGUAGUAUCUCCCAGGGCAAAAGUCUUAAAUGAAAUACCGUCAGAACCAAAUUCAGUUGGAAAAACUGGCUUAUCCACAGGCAAAAGACUGAAGUUGGACUCUUCGUUAUACCAUAUACAAACAUUAAUACAAAAUGGAAUAAAGACCUAAACGUAAGAGCUAAAACUAUAAAAUUCUUAGAAGAAAACAUAGGGGGAAAUAUUCAUGACAAUGGAUUUGGCAAUAAUUUCUUGGCUAUGACACCAAAAGCACAGGCACCAAAAGAAAAAAAUAGAUACACUGAAGUACAUACAAAUGUAAAAAUUUUGUGCACCGAAGUAUAUUAUCAGCAGAGUGAAAGGGCAACCGUGGAAUGGGAGAAAAUAUUUGCCAAUCAUAUAUGUGAUAAGCGGUUAGUACCCAGAAUUUAUAAAAGCUCCUAUAACUCAAAAACAAACAAACAAAAAUAACCCAAUUUUAAACUCAGCAAAGGGCUUGAAUAGAGAUUUCCUCAAGGAAAAUAUACAAAUGACUAGGACGAACAUAAAAAGGUACUCACUGUCACUAAUCACUAAGAAAUGCAAGUCAAAACCACAAUGAAUUACCACAUCACACUCAUUAAGAUGAAUAUCUUUUAAAAAAGAAAAAAAAAAAACAAGUGGCGGCAAGGAUGUUGAGAAAUUGAAACUGAUUUGCACUGUUGUGAGAAUUAAAAUGGAAAAUAGUCUGUUAGUUCCUUAAAAAUAUAAUUAACAUAUGGUCCAGCAAUUCUACUUCUCGGUAUAUACCCAAAAGAAUUGAAAGCAGGGUCUGGAAUACAUAUUUUUUACAUUUCUUUCAUAGCAACAUUAUUCACAAGAGCCAAAAGUUAGAAGCAAGACAAGUGUCAAUUGACACAUGAUCAGAAAAACAAAAUGUGGUAUAAAUAUACAAUGGAAUAUUAUUCAGCCUUAAAAAAGAAAGGAAGUUCUGAUAAUUGCUACAACAUAGAUGAACCUUGAGAACUUUCUGCUAAGUGAAAUAGACUAGUCACAAAAGGGCGGAUAUUAUAUGAUUCCACUUACAUAAGGUACCUAGAGUAGUCUAAUUUAUAGAGACAGAAAGUAGAAUGGUGGUUGCCAGGGGCUGGAUGCAGGGAGGAAUGGAGAGGUAAUUUCUACUGAAUACUGAGAUUCAGUAUGGGAAGAUUUUAAAAAUUCAAGAGAAGGAACGGUGGCGAUAGUUGUAUCACGAUAAAUGUACUUAAAGCCUCUGAAUGGUACCCUUGAAAUGGCUAACCAUAUCUUAUAAAAAAAUUAAAAUUUCAGUAAUGCAUAAAAUAUUUAUACUGCAUCAUGGUCAAGUUUGGUUUAAUCCAGAAAUGCAAAAAUGAUUAAAUAUUAGAAAAUUUAUUAGUAGAUGAGGGAACUGAAGGAGAAAAAAAAUGAUUAUCUCAGUAGAUACAGAAAAAGCAGUUACAACCAUUCAGCACUAAUUAUGAUUUUAAAACAAAAAUUCUAGCUUACUUAGAAGAAACUUUUAAAAACUCAAUAAUAUUACCUACCCAAAACCUAAAGUUUAAAGUAUUCCUUUAGAUUCAAGAAUAAAGUUGCUCACUGUGGCAGAACUGUGAGUUGUUCUAUAUUGUCUAGCUUCCUAUCUUCCUUGUAUUAAAAUCACCGUUUCUUCUAUAUGGAUGCCUCUAAAAAGAUAUAUCUCAAGCCUUCCUUUGAAGCUAGGUGAGACCAGGGAUGAGAAUAUGUUCUGGCCAAUAAAAUAUAUUCACAAAUAGAGUUUGGCAGUUUCAAGGAACUUUUCUUAAAAGACAGCUGGAACAUGACUUUUACUCCCUUUUCUUCUUUGUCCCUUGUUCAUCUUUCUGUAACAUGGCUAGAGCUCUGGCAGCUAUAUUAGACCAUGAGGAUGAAAACCUCAUGGGGUUGAAAAAACAGUAGCUGGAAGGAGCCUGGGUUCCUGAGGACUGCUAUGAGGAAGAGUAGCCACACGAACCUCAGCCUGCCUACGUUGGACUUUUACAUAACUGAGGAAUAAUCUUCUGUCUUAAGCUCUUGCUAUUUUGUGUCUCAGCUACUCACAGACAAACUAAACCCAUUAUUACUGCUUCUAUUUGACAUUUGACUGGAGGCCCCCUCAAUGCAAUAAGACAAGAAAUUAAAAACAGAUUUAAUAAGAUAAUUUAGCCAGGUUGUUGAGCACAUUUUCAAUAUAUUAAAAGCACUUGUUAGUAUCCACUAACAUCAACAAAUGAGAAGAGUUAAUUAAAAAACCAUACCAGCAAUAAGAAUUAUAACUUAUCUGGGAAAUAACCUAACAAAAGACCUUUAUGUAUUAAGAUGACCAAACUUUAUGAAAAACAUAAAAGCAGAUCUAUAUAAAUGUAUUAUUUUCAUAGCAGAAGGAUUCACGAUGUAGAGAUGUCAAUUCUUCCCAAACUGAUCAAUAAAUUCCAUGAUAUUCCCAAGCAGACAAAGCCAGUUGGCAAAUUACACGGGUAGAUGGCUUUGUUGAAAUGCAGUGGAGGCGACAAACAUGCCAUUGAUCUCCAACCCUGGUUCUCCUCUGUCCAACCUCAUCCUAAAAUGUAUAUGAAUAAGCAAAGAGAAUGGCAUGAUGAUGGUAAAGAACAGCUGUGAGGAGGACACGCUCUACAAUAUGUGAAGCUAGAACUGCACCAAUAUGGUAACUACUAGCCACAUGCCGCCAUCGAACAUUUGAUUGGUGGCUACUUCAAAUUGAGAUGUGCUGACAGUGCAAAACACACAUCUUAUUAUAAAGGCCUAGUAUAAAAAAAGAA